AAAACCUUAAGUUAAUAAAACUAUUAACCUUCAAAGUUAAAAAUUACUAAAAUUUUAGUAGGUUUUA
RNAcentral lists this transfer RNA (67 nucleotides) under Corythucha ciliata (sycamore lace bug). RNAcentral describes it as "tRNA-Trp". Lineage: Eukaryota; Metazoa; Arthropoda; Insecta; Hemiptera; Tingidae. The record is from RNAcentral.